GCUAUUUAAAAAACUUAAAAAAUUACUCAAUUUUAAAUCAUUUCCCUUCCAAAUAAAAAAUAUAUCAUCAAUGUAACGGCGAUAGGUGACCAAGUCCGCAAAAAAUUCACUAUGUAAAAUAAAUGUUUCUUCCCAAUACGCCAUGAAGAGAUUUGCGUAACUUGGUGCGAACUUGGUCCCCAUCGCCGUUCCAUUGAUUUGCAAAUAAAAACUGUCUUUAAACCAAAAAAAAUUAUUGGUCAGAAUUAAAGACAUACCUUCUUUAAUAAAAUUAACCUGUUCUUGUUUAAAAUUCGAUUUUUCUAAAAAAUAUUGCACCGCCUCUAUUCCCUUUAUGUGUGGAAUGUUGCUAUAAAGAGAACUUACAUCACAAGUGACCAAUAUAUAAUUCUCUUCCCAUUUGAUAUCUCCUAAAAUUUGCAAAAUGUGUAUCGUAUCUUUCAAAUACGUUGGAUUCUUAAUUACCACCGGUUGAAGUAGGACAUCAAUAUAUUCCGAGACUCUCGAUGAGAUGCUCUCUACCCCCGAAAUUAUAGGUCUACCUGGUGGGUUGGUUAAAUGUUUGUGCAUUUUUGGCAAACAAUAAAACACUGGAAUUUGGGGAUUUAAAAUAAUUAAGUAUUUGGCUUCUGUCUCUGUUAAAAUAUUGUUUUCUAAUCCUUUAUCAAUAUAUUCUUUAAACUUAAUUGUAAUUUCUUGACUAGGGUUGGAUGUUAAUUUUUUAUAUGUUUUUACAUCCGACAGAAGUCUUUCUGCUUCUCCUACAUAUUUUUCUUUAGAUAGAAUUACCACCCCUCCCCCCUUGUCUGCUGGUUUUAUAAUUAAGUUGUCAUCCUUUUGUAACUUCUUUAAAAUUGUUAAUUCUGCUUGCGUGAGAUUUUUUUGAUAUUUAUUUGUAUGUUUAAUUUUUUUAACUUCUUUCAUAAUCAUGGUCUCAAAGGUUUUGAUUUCGCUUGAGAUCAUAUUCCUUGGAAAGAAUUUUGAUUUUUCUUUAAGAUUACUAUGGAUAUACGGGGAAGUCUUAUUGGUUUCUACUAAUUCUCUAUUAUAAAAAAUUUUUUUCAAACAUAACUGUCUGGUGAAGCGGUUAAGAUCUAUAAAAAAUUCAAAUGGUUUAAAAUCUGCAGACGGA
Molecule: non-coding RNA, 1132 nt
Organism: Pelobates cultripes (western spadefoot toad)
Lineage: Eukaryota; Metazoa; Chordata; Amphibia; Anura; Pelobatidae
Source: the annotation of a GenBank genome assembly